GAAAUGCGAUAAGUAGUGUGAAUUGCAGAAUUCAGUGAAUCAUCGAAUCUUUGAACGCACAUUGCGCCCCUUGGUAUUCCAUGGGGCAUGCCUGUUCGAGCGUCAUUUGUACCCUCAAGCUCUGCUUGGUGUUGGGUGUUUGUCCCGUCUCCGCGCGUGGACUCGCCCCAAAGUGAUUGGCAGCCGGCGUACUGGUCCCGGAGCGCAGCACAUGUCGCGCAAACGAGUGCCUUGGUACGGCGGCGUCCAUAUGCCCCUCUCUCACGCUCUUGACCUCGGAUCAGGUAGGGAUACCCGCUGAACUUAAGC
RNAcentral lists this unclassified non-coding RNA (309 nucleotides) under plant metagenome. RNAcentral's name for it is "partial contains 5.8S ribosomal RNA, internal transcribed spacer 2, and large subunit ribosomal RNA". The stretch from base 1 to 105 matches the Rfam family "5.8S ribosomal RNA", at positions 50 to 154 of the family's 154-position model. The record is from RNAcentral.